GACGAACGCUGGCGGCGUGCUUAACACAUGCAAGUCGAACGAGACGAUUGAAAGCUUGCUUUUGAAAGUCGAGUGGCAAACGGGUGAGUAACGCGUAGACAACCUGCCUUUGAGAUGGGGACAACAGUUCGAAAGGACUGCUAAUACCGAAUGUUGUAUAUUUUCCACAUGGAAGAUAUAUUAAAGAUGGCCUCUAUUUAUAAGCUAUCGCUCAAGGAUGGGUCUGCGUCUGAUUAGCUGGUCGGUGGGGUAACGGCCUACCAAGGCGACGAUCAGUAGCCGGUCUGAGAGGAUGAACGGCCACAUUGGGACUGAGACACGGCCCAGACUCCUACGGGAGGCAGCAGUGGGGAAUCUUCCACAAUGGACGAAAGUCUGAUGGAGCAACGCCGCGUGAGUGAAGAAGGGUUUCGGCUCGUAAAGCUCUGUUGUCGGGGACGAAUGUGCAGUAUUUGAAUAAAGUACUGUAAUGACGGUACCUGACGAGGAAGCCACGGCUAACUACGUGCCAGCAGCCGCCGUAA
Molecule: ribosomal RNA, 524 nt
Filed under: uncultured bacterium
Lineage: Bacteria
Description: partial 16S ribosomal RNA
Rfam family: Bacterial small subunit ribosomal RNA
Source: RNAcentral